This 88-nucleotide transfer RNA is filed under the name Verrucomicrobiales bacterium. RNAcentral describes it as "tRNA-Leu". It matches the Rfam family "tRNA". From Rfam's summary of the family: Transfer RNA (tRNA) molecules are approximately 80 nucleotides in length. Lineage: Bacteria; Pseudomonadati; Verrucomicrobiota; Verrucomicrobiia; Verrucomicrobiales. The record is from RNAcentral.
GCCGGUGUGGCGAAAUGGCAGACGCACAGGACUUAAAAUCCUGGGAUCUUAAAAAAUCGUGUCGGUUCGAGUCCGACCACCGGCACCA